ACUCCUACGGGAGGCAGCAGUGGGGAAUAUUGGACAAUGGGGGCAACCCUGAUCCAGCGACGCCGCGUGUGUGAAGGAGGCCUGCGGGUUGUAAAGCACUUUUAGUGGGGAUGAAAAGCACAUUGCUAAUACCAGUGUGUCUUGACCUAACCCAAAGAGAAAGCACCGGCUAACUCUGUGCCAGCAGCCGCGGUAAU
Molecule: ribosomal RNA, 197 nt
Filed under: uncultured bacterium
Lineage: Bacteria
Description: partial 16S ribosomal RNA
Rfam family: Bacterial small subunit ribosomal RNA
Source: RNAcentral